This 986-nucleotide long non-coding RNA is filed under the name Gossypium barbadense (sea-island cotton). Its description in RNAcentral is "long non-coding RNA (GBAR_LNC015949)". Lineage: Eukaryota; Viridiplantae; Streptophyta; Magnoliopsida; Malvales; Malvaceae. The record is from RNAcentral.
AUUAGCCUCAUAUCUCCCACCACACCUUGUUCUCUGCACAUAUGUAAUUGAAACAGGCGAACAGGAAAGAGCUCAGCCACUAUGAUGAAGAAGAUUUAAGUGCAGAUACUCGAUUGUGGUAAACUAACACAGAAAAGAAGAUGAGCUAUUCAAUGCCAGGCUACCUGUUGGUGUGCCCGAAAUUGGGAAGGUUUAGGAGAAAAAAAGCUUUGAUAAUAUCUCCAGGUCUCACGUGUCAUGUUUUCGCAAGAUGCAACAUAAAAGAUCCAGUGCGGAAAUUGGAAAAGAAAAUGAAAAUGAAAGAACAAAUAAAAACAUAAUAAAGAAAAGCUGCUCCUGGGGGUUUGAUUUGCCCGAGGACUUUUGCUGUACCAAGAAGUGCCGCAGAACCUCCCGUGUCAGUUUUCAUGGUCUCAGUCGAGCAACCAAGUCCGGUCUUGAUAUUUUGGCCACCACUAACAACAUUUAAGACAAGCAAUAUAAACUUGAAAAGAAAAAAGGCAGGCAUCUAAUCUCUAUCCUUGUUUUGUUUCCUAAAGUAACUGAAUUAUACAUGUAUCUUCUUGUUAGAAUAUAUUUAUGUAAGUAUAUGUGAAAUUACCUGUCAAGAGUUGAUCCUUUUCCAACUAGUGCUAACUUAGCUUUAAUAGGUCCACUUGGGGGUUUGUAGCACAAAUGGAUGAGAUAAGGGGAAUCUACAGAUGUUGCAGCAACACCCAUACAUACUAAAAUUAAUCAAAAUUAAUCAAUGGAAAAAGCGAAUCCAAGGAUCUAACUAGGGUCAUCUUAUAACAUACAUACUAAAAGCUAACCAACGUAGUUAGCUAAUUCUUGCUCCUUUUAUUUCAGAAUUGCGCCUACACUCGUCAACCAAUGGCAUGCACAUAAAACUUUUAGAAGCCCUUUAAAGAAUCAAUCCACAGUCAAAGGUCAAUGGUUUUUAAGAACAGAACUUGUAUCUCCAAACAAUCAAAGUUGACAGCUUU